RNAcentral lists this transfer RNA (71 nucleotides) under Marmota monax (woodchuck). RNAcentral describes it as "tRNA.Ser". It matches the Rfam family "tRNA". Rfam says of the family: Transfer RNA (tRNA) molecules are approximately 80 nucleotides in length. Their secondary structure includes four short double-helical elements and three loops (D, anti-codon, and T loops). The record is from RNAcentral. Lineage: Eukaryota; Metazoa; Chordata; Mammalia; Rodentia; Sciuridae.
GGGGUCGUGGCUCAGUGGUAGAGCACUCACCUAGAGUGUGUGAGGCACUAGGUUCGAUUCUCAGCACCACA